This 356-nucleotide ribosomal RNA is filed under the name uncultured bacterium. Its description in RNAcentral is "partial 16S ribosomal RNA". It matches the Rfam family "Bacterial small subunit ribosomal RNA", at positions 338 to 711 of the family's 1533-position model. The record is from RNAcentral.
CCUACGGGGCGCAGCAGUGGGGGAUAUUGCACAAUGGGGGAAACCCUGAUGCAGCGACGCCGCGGGGGUGAAGAAGCGCCUCGGCGCGUAAAGCCCUGUCAGCAGGGAAGAAAAUGACGGUACCUGAAGAAGAAGCCCCGGCUAACUACGUGCCAGCAGCCGCGGUAAAACGAAGGGGGCAAGCGUUACCCGGAGUUACUGGGUAUAGAGGGGGCGCAGACGGCGAUGCAAGCCAGGAGUGAAAGCCCGGGGCCCAACCCCGGGACUGCCCUUGGAACUGCGUGGCAAGAGGGCAGGAGGGGCAGGCGGAAUUCCUGGAGUAGCGGUGAAAAGCGUAGAUAUCAGGAGGAACACCG